CCAGCCUGAGGAAGAGCUGCAGUCACACAAACCGGGAAAAGCAAAGCCAAGGGACAGCAGAGAGCCGAGGUGACAGAACAAAUGCCAUCUCCCACUGCACAGAGAUAUCAAGGAAUGAUUCUUCAGAUCCCUGCUGGAGAAAACCCAGGCACACCAGGGCUUCAGAGGGGAAUUCCUGCCCCAGCAAUAAAUGAAAACCCUCAAUUUUCUUCCUAUUCUCAGCUACAAACACAGAACCCUGCUGUCUGCAGAGCACCCUUACUGAUCCAGCCUCUCCUCAGGAUGACACUUCAGGGAUGUUGGGAUGCUUUGUUUAAAGAUUAAAGGAGGCAAAAGGAAAAUGAAGCACCUUUGCUGUUGCCAUGGCAGGGCAGAGAUCAGAGCAAACCAUAAACGGCUCAUUAUAGACUCGUACAUGAGAUCUAUGGGGAAUGUACCAAAAAAACCCACAAAAUGCCACUAAACACCAUCCUGCCAACCACAGGAAA
This is a long non-coding RNA of Passer domesticus (house sparrow), 488 nucleotides long. RefSeq lists it as uncharacterized. The record is from RefSeq and is a predicted model, not a curated record. NCBI's taxonomy places the organism in Eukaryota, Metazoa, Chordata, Aves, Passeriformes, Passeridae. The transcript is spliced from 3 exons.